UCCCUGGUGGCUCAGAUGGUAAAGCGUCUGCCUGCAAUGCGGGAGACCCGGGUUCAGUUCCCGGGUUGGGAA
This 72-nucleotide transfer RNA is filed under the name Capra hircus (goat). It matches the Rfam family "tRNA". From Rfam's summary of the family: Transfer RNA (tRNA) molecules are approximately 80 nucleotides in length. Their secondary structure includes four short double-helical elements and three loops (D, anti-codon, and T loops). Lineage: Eukaryota; Metazoa; Chordata; Mammalia; Artiodactyla; Bovidae. The record is from Rfam by way of RNAcentral. RNAcentral also lists the same sequence under 1 other name.